UUUGACCCCAGGUUUCCCUUGAGGACUGCAGAGUUUGGUAACAGCCUGCACCCUUGUUUUUACCACCAAAGUACAAUCUCUGUCUCAGGAGCAGUUAGGUGCUCCCUUGAAAUGGUCAGGAGCCCCAGAAGGUCAUCUGUCACCUGUACAACUGUUUGUCAGCUGAGCAAGGACACACACGCCUCAGGACAGGAUGAGAGACCACCUGAGGAGCAGCAUGUCAUCAGAUCAGAAGAUUUUAUUUGGACAGCCUUGAUAAACUUGAGUCUCAAGUUUUUCCAAAACGAAAGUACUCAAGCUUUCUCCCCCAGAUUCAACAUCAUCUCUGGCAGCUGUCACCAAGAAAACUGCAGAGAGAAACAUGCAUCUUGCUUUUCAAAAAUUCCUAGAGGCCAAAGUGAUUUGAUCAAUUUAAAACCCAGUGGAGAUACACCACUCGCAGCGUGCCUGUGUCAACUGCGGAGGGAAUUACACAAGGUUUGGAUGCAUCAGCUACAGGAGACAGAGACUGCACUUCUUAUAAUCACGCUGCCACUGUUGGUUCUGGAGUAAUUGCCAUCUCUUAUUUCUCUUGUCCCUGCCCUCUUCCCUGGAAAGAUCACCUUCACUAAGCUCCCUUCAGGCCUGUGCUGUUUCCAAGGUUUCCGGCAUAGUGUGGAGGGACCAGUCUUCUCCUCCU
Molecule: long non-coding RNA, 679 nt
Filed under: Chinchilla lanigera (long-tailed chinchilla)
Lineage: Eukaryota; Metazoa; Chordata; Mammalia; Rodentia; Chinchillidae
Description: lncRNA (ENSCLAG00000028197.1)
Source: RNAcentral